CCUACGGGAGGCAGCAGUGGGGAAUAUUGGACAAUGGGCGAAAGCCUGAUCCAGCAAUGCCGCGUGAGUGAUGAAGGCCUUAGGGUUGUAAAGCUCUUUUACCAGGGAUGAUAAUGACAGUACCUGGAGAAUAAGCUCCGGCUAACUCCGUGCCAGCAGCCGCGGUAAUACGGAGGGAGCUAGCGUUGUUCGGAAUUACUGGGCGUAAAGCGUACGUAGGCGGUUAUUCAAGUCAGAGGUGAAAGCCUGGAGCUCAACUCCAGAACUGCCUUUGAAACUAGAUAGCUAGAAUCUUGGAGAGGUGAGUGGAAUUCCGAGUGUAGAGGUGAAAUUCGUAGAUAUUCGGAAGAACACCAGUGGCGAAGGCGACUCACUGGACAAGUAUUGACGCUGAGGUACGAAAGCGUGGGGAGCAAACAGGAUUAGAUACCCUGGUAGUCCACGCCGUAAACGAUGAUAACUAGCUGUUCGGGCUCUACGAGCUUGAGUGGCGCAGCUAACGCAUUAAGUUAUCCGCCUGGGGAGUACGGUCGCAAGAUUAAAACUCAAAGGAAUUGACGGCUGGAGACGUGCCGACGGACGACGACGAGGGAGUAGG
Molecule: ribosomal RNA, 598 nt
Filed under: uncultured bacterium
Lineage: Bacteria
Description: bacterial SSU rRNA
Rfam family: Bacterial small subunit ribosomal RNA
Source: RNAcentral